CCGAAGGGGUGGACUCUAAGGAUGCCAUUGCUUUCACCGUGGUUCGUUGCAGCUGGAUUCGUGCCGCAGGUAUUGGGAUAUGGAGAGACAACAUCGACCCAGCGGCCUAGAGAUCUCAUCUCUAUCCCGUUGCUUUCUAUGAUCUAUUUAUCUUUGUAGAGUUUAAUAUGCUCUCGUUCAUGAGAAUUGAUCUUCUAAAUUGGUAAUUGAUGAGAAAG
This 218-nucleotide long non-coding RNA is filed under the name Elaeis guineensis (African oil palm). RNAcentral describes it as "long non-coding RNA (EGUI_LNC079928)". The record is from RNAcentral. Lineage: Eukaryota; Viridiplantae; Streptophyta; Magnoliopsida; Arecales; Arecaceae.